GCCAUUAUCACAAUUUCAUUCUGAUAUUUUUUUCUCAGAGAAAUGCCUCCCAGAAAGCGUAGGAAGUGUACUUCGGUCACUGUGAAAAAUCAUGCAGAAAAAGCUCAUGCUACAUCAGCAACCCCUGCUGCUUGUUCAGAAAGCGACACUGCUUCCCCACUGCCACAGGCAUGCCCUCCUUCCUCCAGCACAGUCGCUGUGUCACUUCAGCAUCCACCUGUAUCACUGGCUGUGCCUCGCCCAGCUGUAAUACCCGACAGCAUGGCUACACCACAAGUAUUUGCUGAAGUCGAGAGCCUUCUCCCUCUUUCUUUCAACAAGAGAAAGAAAAGGAGAAGCCUGCGAUUUAGGUGUGGGCAUCGGCAAGUUGGCAGUAAGGAUGAUUCCUUUUGACAGGAUCGCAGUUUUGGAGGGCUCGAUCACAACCAAAGAUGUUGCCAUUGGAAAGCUUCAUGAAUUUAAGUAUGUUUCUUUACUGUUUUACACUAGUGAUGAAAAACGCAGGUGUACUGUAACCAAAACGUUAAAUUACAUCAAAUCUGUAACAAAAAAUACACUAUGAAUAUGAAAUAUAGAAAAAGUAAAAUCAGACCAAAAUAUUUCCUAUGUACAAAACAAUAAAGUUAGAAAGAGGGGUCAACCAGAGAAAGAUAUGAUUGCAAUCAAAUGUGCAAAAUUGUAAAAAUAAAGUCAACAGAAGACUUAAUUAAACUAUAUAUUUUACCUCUCCAGUUUUUUAUGCAUGGCACUCAUUUUGUGGAAGCACAAUUAUAUCAUAUUAAAUAUAGAAGGCAGGAUUUGCACUCUGCCUUUACCCGCUAUGCCACUUGUGAGCCACAAAUUAUUAUUUUUAAAGUGUAAAGGUACACAUUAAAACUUCUAAAUAGACUUGCAGAUUUUCUCAGGGUGAUUUUUUCCGCUGGGCAUCUCAAUAUUUUUUUGUUUUUAUUUACAUACCAUUACAAGAUAAAAUGUUAGGAGCUAAAAACAAUCCUCAUUAAAUAUUGGGUAAAAGCAGCUUACAUAAAACCACAUGCCUGGUUUAUUGAGUAUUGCAGUACUAAUUGUAUUAUUCA
This is a long non-coding RNA of Acipenser ruthenus (sterlet), 1076 nucleotides long. RefSeq lists it as uncharacterized. The transcript has 3 exons. NCBI's taxonomy places the organism in Eukaryota, Metazoa, Chordata, Actinopteri, Acipenseriformes, Acipenseridae. The record is from RefSeq and is a predicted model, not a curated record.